Molecule: microRNA precursor, 83 nt
Filed under: Jaculus jaculus (lesser Egyptian jerboa)
Lineage: Eukaryota; Metazoa; Chordata; Mammalia; Rodentia; Dipodidae
Description: miRNA (ENSJJAG00000006990.1)
Source: RNAcentral
CUGUGUGCAUAUGUAUGUGUGCAUGUUCAUAUGUGUAAAUGUGGACACAUGUAUCACAGUACACAUACGGAGGCCAGAGGACA